RNAcentral lists this long non-coding RNA (491 nucleotides) under Panax ginseng (ginseng). Its description in RNAcentral is "long non-coding RNA (PGIN_LNC002436)". Lineage: Eukaryota; Viridiplantae; Streptophyta; Magnoliopsida; Apiales; Araliaceae. The record is from RNAcentral.
ACAACAAUAAAUUAAGCCCGAAUGUAUCCAAUUCAUGUGUAUAAAACUCAAUCAUCAAAUACCCCCAAACUUAAACCUUUGCUUGUCCUCAAGCAAAAACACAAAAAUGUUAUGCAAUGCAAUGUAAUGAAACUAAUCUAUAUGCCUACGACUCCAACAGUAAUGACAGAAACAAGUCUAUUCAACCGGCCUUAGAGAAAUCAAGUAAACAUGAUAAUACAUCAUAUUAAAACAAAUCAGUAAUUUCCCAAUCAAUCAUCAAAUCUUAGACUGUUAUCACUGAUAUAGUGCGUGUGUGCUCCACAACAAUGUUAACUGAUAUAAAAUCAAAUUUAAGACAUAAUAGAUAUCUUUGAAGGCAUCAUACAGUGCAAAUUCACAAAAUUCACGAACAAGCUAUAUCCAACUAAAGUCAAACAUCCACCAAGUUCAAGAGUCCAAUCUGGGAUACUUAUGCUUUACUUUUCAUUACGGGGGCUUUUUGCUCUUUU